AAGUCGUAACAAGGUUUCCGUAGGUGAACCUGCGGAAGGAUCAUUACACAAGUAAAAUUAUGGUUCGGAACAGCACGGGCGUCUCCCCCCGGGUCGAGACGCUGGCUGAUCUUCAUAUUUACCAACCCUUUGCCUAUACGUACCCUUAUCGCUUCCUCGGCAGGCCCGCCUGCCGCCAGGAACCACACAAACCCUUUGCAUCUAUACACGAAAACUUCUGAUACAAAAAACAAAAUUAUUACAACUUUUAACAAUGGAUCUCUUGGUUCUG
RNAcentral lists this unclassified non-coding RNA (271 nucleotides) under air metagenome. Its description in RNAcentral is "partial contains small subunit ribosomal RNA, internal transcribed spacer 1, and 5.8S ribosomal RNA". The stretch from base 1 to 46 matches the Rfam family "Eukaryotic small subunit ribosomal RNA", at positions 1786 to 1831 of the family's 1831-position model. The record is from RNAcentral.